Molecule: RNA transcript, 2296 nt
Organism: Brienomyrus brachyistius
Lineage: Eukaryota; Metazoa; Chordata; Actinopteri; Osteoglossiformes; Mormyridae
Exons: 4
Source: RefSeq, a predicted model, not a curated record
UCCGGGAGGCGGAGACGAAGGCAGCCGAACAACAAUCAGGACAAUCCCCCCCCCAAAACCUUACGGCACGUAACACCCCCCCACACAAGAGCGAACCUGCCAGGUGUUCGCAAUCCUCCAUAACUGCGGGCAUACAAAAUAAAUAACAAGUAACUAAUAGACAGGAAGAACCGGAAUUAGGCUCGGGAGAGGGCGUCAGCCACGAGAUUAGUGACCCCUUUUUUAUGUACGAUCUCUAAAUGAAACGCCUGGAUAAUGAGAGCCCAACGCAUUAACCGCUGGUUAGUGUUACACAUCCGAGCGAGGAAAACCAAAGGAUUGUGGUCUGUAUACACCACCACCGGACGAGCACUGUCCCCUACAUAUACUUCAAAAUGCUGUAAAGCUAAAAGGAGGGCUAGGGCUUCUUUCUCGAUUGUGCUAUACGCUAACUGGUGUUUUAAAAAUUUCUUGGAGAAGUAGCAUAUAGGAUGGUUCAACCCGUGACUGUCUUCCUGCAGGAGGACGGCACCAGCACCCAAUCCACUGGCAUCUACUUCUAACUUGAACGGUUUGGCAAAGUCGGGGGCAGCUAGGACGGGGGAACUACUGAGCAACAUUUUCACCGAAUCGAAAGCACUCUGGCAGUCUGGGGACCACACAAAUGGCACCCCCUUACGAAGCAAGUGAGUAAGGGGCAUGACAACCUCUGAGAAAUUUCGGCAGAAACAACGGUAAUACCCUGCCAUCCCGAGGAACCGCUUCAGCUCUCGCGGCGUCUUCGGAACGGGGAAUAAACGGAUAGCCUGGACUUUUAUGUCCAGGGGCUUAACCUCGCCUCGACCCACUAAUUUCCCCAAAUAGCUGACCCUGCCCUGUCCGAAUUCACAUUUUUCGAGGUUGAGCACCAGCGAAGCCUUUUGUAACCGAACAAACACCUGUUCAAGGGAACUCACAUGCUGUUCCCACGAGUCGGAAUAAAUCACCACAUCAUCUAGAACCGGAACGUCCCAUCCGGUUUGGGAACAAGCAGGCACGGGGAACACCAAGGACUAUUGCUGGGAACAGCAAGACCCGUCUCUACCAGCAGGGGUACGCGAAGGGGUAUCAGCGAACAGGGGUCGGAAGCGAUCUACUAGGGACAAAAUGUCAGUUUGGGCUGACCCAGGCAAGUGGCUGAGCCGGGACGUAAGGUUUUGCAGAGCCUCUGAGUUAGGAAGGCGAGCACAGGGGAGACAAUUCCUACCGAGGUGUAAGUCAUCAGUCUCUGGUGAGUACUUACUGAGAGACACGACACCCACAGGAGCGGGGACCGGAACAGAAGUAGGCGAGGGGACGGGGACCGAGCGAUCAAGGUACGGUUUCAACAUAUUUAUGUGGCACACGCGAGUCUUCCUCCUACGGUUUGGGGUCUCUACAACAUAGUUGGUGGGGCUAAGCCUUUCUAGUACAACAUAUGGACCUGAGAAUCGGGCGCUAAGGGAGGAACCGGGCAACGGGAGAAGGACUAAGACACGAUCACCAGGCUGGAAACACCGGGGUUUUGCAGACUUAUCAAAUUGACCUUUCAUUUUCUUCUGUGCUAUUCCCAGAGACUGUCGAGCCAAUUCCCUAGCUGUAGACAUCCGGUCCCGAAGGGAUUUCACAAACUUGGACACAUCCUGCGUAGAGGAGGACGCAUCGGGGGAUAACCACUGCUCCUGUAACGCCUUCAGGGGACCUCGAGCAGUGUGGCCAAAGACAAGUCCAGCAGGACUAAACCCGGUCGAUUCUUGGACAGCAUCGCGUAUUGCAAAAAGUAGAAGGGGCACUCCCUCAUCCCACUCUCUCCCUGCAUCUAAACAAAAGCGGAGGUACGACACGCUUCCAAUGACAAAUCCUCCGCCUGUGCCUUGGUCAAAGCGUCCGUAGUGGAAGGGACCUCAGGGGACACAGCAGGUUCCACGGAGACCAGGGAGUCCGAGUCACAAGUCGAAGGUGUUGGGUCGGACAUAAAUGUCUCAGCCAGCUGAACGUCGGCGAACUUGCGCUGCUGGGCCCGUGUCAGCACACAAGCCGGGAACACCUGGGGCAGUUCCGCCGCAACGUCAUCGGCGCAGAUCUCCGGCUCUGGGGCAACUUCAGGAAGGGGAACGAUCCUUUUCCCCGCAAUGUCAUUCCCCAGAAUGAACGUGACCCCUGGAACAGGUAGCUGGGACUGGACCGCAACACGCACAAGUCCGGAGAAAUCAGGAGUACAUAAAUAUACAGUAUGCAACGGAACCGCAGCCACACACAGAUCGAUACCUUGCACCAGUACGUCGGUGCCACAGUAAGU